RNAcentral lists this ribosomal RNA (256 nucleotides) under uncultured bacterium. RNAcentral describes it as "partial 16S ribosomal RNA". It matches the Rfam family "Bacterial small subunit ribosomal RNA", at positions 793 to 1055 of the family's 1533-position model. The record is from RNAcentral.
GUCCACGCCGUAACGAUGGGUACUAGGCGUCGGGAGCGACCCUCCGGUGCCGUCGCUAACGCAGUAAGUACCCGCCUGGGAGUACGGUCGCAAGACUGAAACUCAAAGGAAUUGACGGGCCCGCACAAGCGGUGGAGCAUGUGGUUUAAUUCGAAGCAACGCGAAGAACCUUACCUGGGCUUGACAUGCACGGGAAAGCCGGUGGAAACAUCGGCCCCUCUUCGGAGCUCGUGCACAGGUGCUGCAUGGCUGUCGU